AGGUUUUCUCCUGGCGCAUGGGCGCCGCCAAUCAUUUCGGGGCUUAUUUUGGUUCUAAAGCCCGGGGCAGCCAGGCCUCCCUGCCUGGCCUCGGCGGGGACGCGGGACCUGGGGCCCCGGACCGGGCCUAACCGCCCUGGCCGGUCCCCACUGAUGGUGGCGGUCGGUCCUGAUCGUCCUGAUGGCAGCGACCAGGCUGGACUCGGGCUGUGCAGGGGCGAGGGGAGCAGGGCGGGGUGACGCCCGGAGAGCGGCCUGGAGAGCGCGUGCUUCAGAAGGCGUGGGCACCCUGUCCCCUUUGCAGAUGGGGAUGCAGGCCCUGGUGGCGGUGGAGGGGAGAUGGGGGCAGGGACGUUGCCGGGCAGAGGAAGCUGGAAGUUUGGCUGCUGUAACUGACUGGGAAGCUUAAAAUAACAGACAAUCAUCUCUCACAUUUAUGGGGACUGGGAAGUCCAAGACCAAGUUGCCAUCUGGGGAGGGCCUGUUCCUCACAGCGCCUUCCAGCUCAGGCCUCGUUUAUAAGGGCACUCAAGCCUUCCACGACAACGGGUCCUCAUGACUUACUCACCUCGGAAAGCCCCACCCCCAAGACCAUCACAUUGUGGGUGAUGGCAGAGCAUAAGGUGCCUUCCCCACAUGCUCGGGUUGGCCCAGCGUCUCACGCUAGCAGCUACGUGGAAUAGUUAUUUUUUCUGGAGAACUCUGGGACCCCUCUGAUGUCUUGGAGCACCCACACAGGCCGUUCACUGUGCACGCUGUGAGGCUGUCGUCUUGGAGCACCCACACAGGCCGUUCACUGUGCACGUGGUGAGGCUGUCCUCUGGGGAGUUCUGCUGUUGUAUGGGUUCUGUCUGUGUCAAUGUCCCAGCGGGAACGCAGGGCACACUAGCGUCAUCCCCAGAGGG
RNAcentral lists this long non-coding RNA (905 nucleotides) under Homo sapiens (human). Its description in RNAcentral is "non-protein coding lnc-FAM20C-3:20". The record is from RNAcentral. Lineage: Eukaryota; Metazoa; Chordata; Mammalia; Primates; Hominidae.